Non-coding RNA from Cricetulus griseus (Chinese hamster), 909 nucleotides. NCBI's taxonomy places the organism in Eukaryota, Metazoa, Chordata, Mammalia, Rodentia, Cricetidae. The record is from RefSeq and is a predicted model, not a curated record.
CAGGAUAUAAGCAGGGAGAAACAGGAAAUCGCUCUCCUGUCUGCUGAGAUAAUAAGGAGGUGAGGUGAGUUGUGACUUGCUUCUUCUCUCUGAUCUCUCAGCAUUUCCCUCUAUAUCUGACUAUGGCUUUUUAUUAUCGAGACCAAUUAAGAACUCCAUCUACAUGUGGAGAUUUCAGAAACUGGAAUGAGUGUGUGCUUCCUCAGAAGGAAUGGAAGACCAAGACAAUUCUCUGCUCUGUCACGGAAGACUUCAAAGAUUCAAAUGUUGGGACCUGACUACCCAUUUCCCGUGAUGGCUAUACCUGGAGAUGAAGGAGCAAAGAUAAAUGAAGCUAAAAGGGUGGAGCUCUGAUCCGACACCAUUGGUGUUGCUGUGAGAAAAGACCUAGGAGCUCACUCUAUCCGCCAUGCUUAUGCUACUUGAAGUCCCGGUGAGGAAGCAUCCACGUGAAAACCAGGAGGAGCCUUCUUGAAAUUCUGAAAUUGGUGACCCUGAUGUGAACUCAGCAGCCCCCAAAGCUCUAAGAAAAUAAACGGCUAUGGUUUAUGCCCCUCAGCUCAGGGUAUUGUGUCACGCACUCUCUGGCCUGCCGGAAGUGCAGGCACCAUCGCAUGCCACUCCUGAUGCUAUGACAGAGUCCCUCUAGGCUGACCACGUGACCACCAGCACCUGCUGGACCAGGCUCCAAGCCAGCUCACCUGCACUCCCACAGCUACCAGAAGCAACAGAAUUGAAAGAAAGAAAUGGGUUUUCUACCUUCAGUAUGGAAAACAUUGCUUUGAAAGGUGUUAUGUUUUUACGUAAUGGACCCAUACACCUUCCUUCCCCACCUCAACUUGUCUCUUUGGAUAACCUUUGCUGUACAGAAAACUUUACAUGAUUAAAUUUUCAAAAAUUCCGAUCCUA